ACAUUGAUAGUUAAUCAAGAAGUUAUAAUUUUUUCUUUGUUCUUUCUUUGUCACAUCUAUGCUUCUAUGGAUUUAGCUUCAUGUUGAUCCUUCUUCCUCAGUUAUGUCUAGCUGAUUUUGACAUGGUAUCAGAGAUAUGUUGCAAAAACUGGUAACCUUCUCGCUCAAUUUGUUGUAUCGAUAAUGGAAUUCAUUAUAAUUUGAUAUCACUUAUUGCUUGGUUCAUACCCUUUCCAUUUGAUUUGUCGUGCUGGUUUUCUAUUCGAUUAAUUGCCGAAUUGAACUUUGUGUCUCUGAAUUCGAGUGUCGAUUUCUCUCUUUCCUGUUUUUUGUCAAAAUUAAAAUACUCUUAAGAUGAUAAAUUAGGGUGAAGAAUCUUCAACUAUGAAUGUUAAUGGUACCACUGGUACUAGUAUUGCUGGGGAUGGCAUCAGUUCCCCUUUAUACAUGUAUCUCUCAGACAAUCCAGGUGCAAUGUUAGUACAUAUUUCCUUCGUUGAAACAUUAUAUACAUCAUGGAGAAGGGGAGUUCUUAGAGCCUUGUCUAUUAAUAAUAAGUUGGGGUUCAUCAGUGGUGAAUGUAAAAGACUAGACCCACGAACAUUACGAUAUAGGCAAUGGGAAAGAUGUGAUGGUAUGGUCAAAUCAUGGAUCCUAAAUUCACUAGCUAAGAAAAUUGCAGAUAUUGUUGAUAUGUAAAUGAUUCUUUGAGCUAUGAAAAGAGCUAGAUGAUCGAUAUGAUCAAACAAAUGGUGCGAAAUUAUAUCAAGUGCAGAGAGAAAUAAAUGAAUUGUCUCAAGGUAGUUUAGACAUAACUACUUAUUUUACAAAAAUAGAAAUUGUAGGAAAAAUUGAGCACCUUACAUGCUCAGACUCGGUGUAAAUGCAAUUGUGUUUGUGAUGCAAAAGAACACUUGUUUAAAGCAGAACAAGAGAGGAGAUUGGUCCAAUUUCUCAUAGGGUUGAAUGAGGUUUAUACAGUAGUUAGGGGAAACAUUCUUAUGAUAAUUCCAUUUCCAUUAUUGGGAUAGGAUUUUUCACUAUUGAUACAGGAUGAGAGACAAAAAGAGAUAAAACCAAGUAAUCAACUAUUUAUGGAGUCUACCUCUUUGAGUGCAAGUGGGUUAAACAAGAUUUCUUUGGAGACCACUAGUUUUCUCGCUGGUAUGAGUAGUCACAGGGGAGGAAAAACUCCUAGGCCCAAAUAUUCUUCUAGUACUAGCAUAUCAGGUGGAAAUGGAAGUUUCAGGACAAAUUAUACCCAAAGUAUUGGCUAUGGUAGAAACAAGCCUCGUAUGGUAUGUGAUUACUGCAAAAGACCAGGGCACACUAAAGAUAAAUAUUAUAAACUCCAUGGUUAUCCACAAGGAAAUAAUCACAACUUCAACAAUAACUACCAAGGUUCACAGAGUAGUUAUCAGAACAACAUUUAAAAUCACAAGUUCAACAAAGGAAAAGGCCUUAUUGCUGAUGUAUAUGGAUUUGUAUCAGAUAUUGCACCUACCAGGGGAAAUGAGCCCAACAAGUUACAGGGUGGAAACAACAUCAACCUAUCUAGAGAUCAGUAUGAGCAUGUUGUGAACUUUCUACAACAUUUUUAGUUUGGAGCUCAUAGAGAGAAUAACAGCAACAAGACUUCAGAUUCUUUGGGAGGAAAUGCAAACUUUGCAGUCCACUUCAAUGAAUAGGCCUCUGGAUAUUAGUGAAGCUAGUCUCUUCCAAUAUUCUUGGACAAGCUUGUACCAGCGUUGGUAGCAAUACUAGUAUCUGUUACACUGAUUCUCAUGUUCGGAGAGAUAAUUCCUCAAACAAUCUGUACUCACUAUGGAUUGACAGUUGGAGCCACUGUAUCACCCCUUGUUCAGAUUCUUUUCUGGUUAUUCUUCCCCAUUGCUUAUCCAAUUAGUAGGGUAUAAAGAACAACAAUCACAUUCUAUAAUUUACUCAUGUAGAGUUAUUAAGUUUUCAUGUUUUGCUACUAGAGAGAGAGAGAUCUUCACCAGCUGUGUGUUCGAUUGCCACCUUGUACUCUCAAUCCGAGUUAUAUGAUACGGUUUAAGAAAUAAAACUAUAUGAACCCAUCAAAAACUCAUAAGAUAGAUCUGUACUCAUAUACGCUACGGUGGUUGAUUUGUAUGAUUUGUUCCUUUUCUGUAGCUUGGAAAGAAAUGGAAAGAAUACAACAUAAAGUUGAAUGGAGGAGUUCCUUGGUUAUGUUCUCCCUCCGUUUCGAUUUACUUGUCACAUUUUGACGUGACACAUCUAUUAAGAAAAUAAUGAUUGGUAUA
This is an RNA transcript of Capsicum annuum, 2288 nucleotides long. It is a transcript of the gene named DUF21 domain-containing protein At1g47330, with no coding region annotated. The transcript is spliced from 4 exons. The record is from RefSeq and is a predicted model, not a curated record. Lineage: Eukaryota; Viridiplantae; Streptophyta; Magnoliopsida; Solanales; Solanaceae.